This 1018-nucleotide long non-coding RNA is filed under the name Durio zibethinus. Its description in RNAcentral is "long non-coding RNA (DZIB_LNC001658)". Lineage: Eukaryota; Viridiplantae; Streptophyta; Magnoliopsida; Malvales; Malvaceae. The record is from RNAcentral.
GGCUGGGGACCUUCGUCCCCAUAAUGUCUUGGCUGAGGACGUUGGUCUUGAGGACGAUGUGAAGGGAUACGCUGGUCAGGACCACGUCGUGGCAACAAGGCAGCAGGUAGAUAAUGACGUUGAUCUGGUGUUUUUUCUUCAGGAUCGAUAAAAUGUGGGUUGGUUUCAACAUGCUGAUAAGCCAUUCUGUAUCGAAAAUAUGGCCAGAAAUGAAGUAGAGCAAAGGGAAAUAAGAGGAGUUGAUGAUGCUAGGUAAUAUGCGAAAGAGGAUGACUUCAAGGGAACUAAUGUAGGAGGAUUCUUGUAAAGGCAAAGAAUCAAACAUAAACUGAGUAUGGGAGGCAAGUAAUCUUUCGUUAUUCCUUUUCAAGGCAUCUGCAUAUUUUCUUUCUGGUUUUUCAAUAUCAAAAGCAGUUGUAAUUUAAAGCAAGCGAUCGUCUACUUGUGAAUUCUUACAAUUCUACUUGAAGCUCAGCAAAGUGACAUACAAUGAUAUACAAUGUCCAAGUUUAGAUGGUAGAAAUAGAUUUUUAGCAAAAUAAUUUUUUGGCGAAAGGAUAAAAAGGUCCUAAAACAAAAAUUUAAUAAUCAUUUAAGUCCUUUAACAUGUUAUUGAAAUCAAUCCAGCUUAAAUCUUUUAUUUCGAAUAAGUUGAAUCCAUAAAUAUUUAUUUUCACCCAAUUAAACCCCUAAACAUCUAUUUUUACUUAAUUAAGCCCUCAAUUGGAUAGAAACAAUUAAACAUUUUUCCUCUAAUAAGGGUUUAAUUGAUAAAAAUAGAGUUUUGAGGGUUUAAUUGGUUGAAAAAAAUGAUAAAGUCUUAAAUGAUUAUUGAAUUUUAGUUCAGGGACUUUUAUUAUUAUUUUUUUAAGCUUUUGCCUUUUUUUUUUUGCCUAGAGUAAAGUACUCUUGUUGUGACAUGGUGUCAUAAUUUGCAGUUGAUCCAAAAACUUGGAAGAUGCUCCAUUGGUUGAAAACAACAAGGAAAUGUUGCAAGUUAACAAUUAUAGAUAGUUGA